This 238-nucleotide ribosomal RNA is filed under the name uncultured bacterium. Its description in RNAcentral is "partial 16S ribosomal RNA". It matches the Rfam family "Bacterial small subunit ribosomal RNA", at positions 118 to 353 of the family's 1533-position model. The record is from RNAcentral.
UGAGCAAUCUGCCCUUCUCUUCGGAAUAAGCGUUGGAAACGACGUCUAAUGCCGAAUACGACCUCCUUUCGCAUGAUCGGAGGUGGAAAGCUCCGGCGGAGAAGGAUGAGCUCGCGGCCUAUCAGCUAGUUGGUGUGGGUAAUGGCCCACCAAGGCGACGACGGGUAGCCGGCCUGAGAGGGCGACCGGCCACACUGGGACUGAGACACGGCCCAGACCUCCCGUACGGGAGGNAGCG